Long non-coding RNA from Ruditapes philippinarum (Manila clam), 2835 nucleotides. RefSeq lists it as uncharacterized. The transcript has 4 exons. NCBI's taxonomy places the organism in Eukaryota, Metazoa, Mollusca, Bivalvia, Venerida, Veneridae. The record is from RefSeq and is a predicted model, not a curated record.
ACAAGACUGUUUUGCAUUGAAAACACCAGCAAUGAAAACGAAAUUAAUAGCUUUAUGUGGCUGCAGUUUUACAAUAGUUUUGCUUUUUAAGAUUUAUUUACUGUUGCAUUUCUGUUGUCCAUACAUGGAUUCACUCGAUGUUUUUAUUCUUUUUAGAGGAAGUAAAUGUAUACAGCAGUCAUUUGAAGACCACAAACAUUGAUUGUUAGUGGGGGAGCGUGGGCACCUGUACCCGUGGAUUACUGGAUUAAGCCUGCUUUUAUCAUCUGACCUUCUAUAGUAUAUAGAAAUUAGAAAUUUGCGACUUGUGCCGAAUUGUCAAAUGCAUAACCUUACAUGACAUUUAACAAGAUUGGCAAUUUCCCAGACGGCAAGAGCGAAAUCAAAGGGUAUGCUCUACUGAAAGAGAGGAAAAUAUUAUUAUUCAACGGCAACACCAAAUGUACCGGGUGUCGAGACAUAACCAGCAACAUUAGACAUUAUAGAUUGUACACAUCCAGGACAGGCUAUUGCACAGAUUGAAUUACGACAGUUAAGGAAAAGUCAACGUGAUGAUCCAAUUGUAGGUCUUUGGUUAAGGGCAACUAUAGACAAGUGUUUUCCAAGUAAGAAUUUGAUAUGUAACAAUGGCCAUUUGACAAUGUCAAGGCACUUAAAUAAAUAAGAUAUUAGUUCUUGGAUAGAACAUUGUGGUCGUUGCAAACGUAGGAAAAGUCCUGUAAAUAUUCGUGCACCUCUUGUGAAUAUUGAAAGUAUAUAUUCUUUAGGGCUUAAAAGUACAGAUUUUCUUACAGUUGAUCCAUGUUCAAGCGCAUUCAGAAAUAUACUUGUAAUACCAAACCACUUUAUCAAGUUUGCAGUGGCUGUGCCAUGUAGAAACCAAGCUGCUAAAACCACGGCAGAAGUCCUCAUGAAUAACUUUAUUAUACAUUAUGGUGUGCCUGCUAAACUUUUGUCCGACCAACCAAGGUCCAAACUUCAAUAGUGAAGUAAUUCAAGAGCAAUGUAAGUUAAUAGGGAUACAAAAGGUAUGAACAACUAUAUAUCACCCACAAUGCAACGGCAUUUCAAAAAGAUUUAAUAGAUCAUUGCUAAGUAUGCUUGGGACUUUAGAGCCUGAACAAAAAAAGAAACCCGGAACAAAUACCUUUAACCACUUGUUUUUGCAAAUAAUGCAAUGAAACAUGAAUCUACUGGUUUUUCACCGUUUGAAUUAAUGUUUGGUAGGAAACCAAUAUUAGCAAUUGAUAACAUGUUUCACAUUGAUAAUGAAUAUUUUAUGUCUACAGAUUAUGUUUAAGAUAAAAAAAACAGGACUGAAUUCGCUCAAAAUAUAGCCAAUAGAAACUUAGCCGAAGCCAGAUCAAAACAGAAGAUGAGUUACAACAAGAAAGCAAAAGCUGCAUCACUGCAAGUUGGUGAUAAGGUAUUGGUUAAAAUUUUUGCAUUUUCCGGACCACACAAGCUUUCAGGUAAGUAUGAACAACCUAUAUAUGAAGUUGUGGAAAGACCAAAUGAUGAUAUUCCAGUGUAUGUAGUUAAAGAUCCAGACGGUAAAAAAAAAAGUUGCACAGGAAUCAUUUGUUACCUGUAGCCGAGGUCGAACCAGACUCAAAUUUACAAGAAAUGACAAAAUAACCUUAAGUUAAAAACAGAUUAAAUAAAGGAACACCUACAGAAACCUUUUCCAAAACCUAGAGCCAAACAGGUUCUGGUACACCUUGUUUCAUAUUUCAUAUUUAGAAUACGUCCGGCUGAAGUUGAGAAAUGGUGUAGUUGUAUCGAGCAAUCCUUCUAAAUAGACAAAGGUUUUUAGUUUGAUUGUGGUUUAUUUCUAUCCUAGAUUAUUUAGUCUCGCGUUAUAUGCUAUUAUUUCGCGUGUAUUCAGAUUAUUUACAACGAUACUUGGGUUGUCAAAAUAACUACUUUUGUUCUGUCUAAUUUGCAUGAACACUUUAUUCCCACAGUACAGGCGUGAGAGAGAAACUUGCCUAUGAUACUUCAAUGUCGUUAGGAGCUUAUGCUUUGACGUUUAUAGUAACAUUAUUUUGGCUAAGAAGAAUGGAAAGAUGUAACAGUUAAACAGUAUAAAGAACGAAACUAAAAGAUGUGUACUUAUUUCUUACAGCCACUACCCAGAAUGUCCCCCUGUAACAUUAAUAAUAAUUAGUGUCUAGCUACAUUUGUCAUCCAAUGAAAACACUGUAUUUCUUAAAUAUUAUGUUUGUUAAUUUUCAAGAACAAAAUUCGAUACAGUAUAUCAAAUAAGAUUUAAAGUCACCGUCUAUUUGUCAUAGCACGUCGUAGAACCGCGUUCAUAAAAUAGUCGUGACGUAAUAAAGUAAAUAUUAUGCAGAUUGACACUAAAUAUGUUAAUAUUCAUCCCUAGCUGUCCUACAGAUACAGAAAUUAGAAACUAUCGCUCCCGUCGAAGUUUCUAAUUGCUGUAGGACAAGACGGAUGUACGCAUAUAUAGAUUUAUUAUUCUGUAAAAACGGAAUGAGCAAAGAUCUAAAAUUUGCACACAAGAUAUUGAUAUUAGACCUACAUGAAAUGGAAUGUUCAUUUUGAAAAAAAUAUUUCCAGUCAUGUCAUGUCAAAAACUCAGUGGAGUUCCUUUAAUGACGAAUCAUUUUACGAAAAACGCGAACAGUAACAGUCCCAAUGCAUUCGUGUUCCAGAUUAUAACUUAAAUUCUGUAACGUCAUGGGUUUAUAAAGACAUAAGUAUAUGUGCUCUAAAAUUUACUUUGAUAUUUCUUCAUCUGUACUAUACAGUAAAGUUCUUCUUCAGAGAUGCUUCCUUUAUAUGUAUGCAACAGAAUCUCUUCUACUG